GACAGAGGGUGCAAACGUUGCUCGGAAUCACUGGGCGUAAAGGGCGUGUAGGCGGGUAGGCAAGUCGGGCGUGAAAUCCCUCGAGCUCAACUCAGGAACUGCACUCGAAACUGCUUAUCUUGAGUGCCGGAGAGGAAAGCGGGAAUACCUGGUGUAGAGGUGAAAUUCGUAGAUAUCAGGUGGAACACCAGUGGCGAAGGCGGCUUUCUGGACGGGUAACUGACGCUGAGACGCGAAAGCGUGGGGAGCAAACAGGA
Molecule: ribosomal RNA, 257 nt
Filed under: uncultured bacterium
Lineage: Bacteria
Description: partial 16S ribosomal RNA
Rfam family: Bacterial small subunit ribosomal RNA
Source: RNAcentral